RNAcentral lists this long non-coding RNA (4173 nucleotides) under Linum usitatissimum (flax). RNAcentral's name for it is "long non-coding RNA (LUSI_LNC004625)". Lineage: Eukaryota; Viridiplantae; Streptophyta; Magnoliopsida; Malpighiales; Linaceae. The record is from RNAcentral.
UCCCUGUUCUUGAAAGCCAAAGCUCCUCUUCAACCGGCAGCGAUUCAGACGGCCAUCGCCAAGUUCCCCAGCAAAGCAUCAUCCUUCCUCCUAACAGCACCAUUGCUGCCGUAGCUGAUGCCCUGGAGAAGAAUGCUCAUAAUUGGUACGGUACAAACAAACAAGUAGUAACACUACUAAACUUAAAAAGCUCCCUUUUUUACUGUGAUCUACAUAGUUCAUUCAUACUAUUGUGUCUUUUUGUUUAAUGAUCCAAACCUGUGCAGGCCUAUAACUCCCCAACUCCCAACAGAUCUAUCGGUUCAAAUCCAAGAUGCUACUUUCACUGUUCACAAGGUACUUCCCUCUCAAACUAUAAAGAGUUAGCAGCAAAUCACAGGCUAUGUAUUUAUGGGUAAAGCUUCAGUACAUGCGGGUACUCAGUACUCUAUAUCAUACUUUUAACAUAUUUCGUGCUUAAAAUUAACAGUAUAGUUUAGUGUUUAGAGUUUAGUACCCGCAUGUACCGGAGCGCUUGCCAUGUAUUCAUACCCAGCAUUUGUAUAUCUCAGUUCCUACAAUCAUAUAACUAGGAUCAAUACUUAGAUCAUGAUUUUGAACAGAGUAACCAAAUUUAGGACAGGUUAUUUAGCCCUUAUCCUCCUGUGUGGCUUAACAUAUUAGAUCAUGAAUCAAAACUUGGACUUGAGCAGUUCAUGAAGAAAAAAAAAUUAAUGCUUGAGCAAUCUGUGGUCUGCUACAGUUACCUUUGGUGUCGAAAUGCGGCUACAUAGCACAUUUGGAACUCCAGCCUUCAAUUUCAAACUUCAGCUAUGAAGUGAAGCUGGAAAACUUCCCAGGAGGAUCAGAGACAUUCGAAGCCGUCUUGAGAUUCUGCUACGGCCUCCCUCUAGAUUUAAACCCUCAGAACAUAGCUCCACUAAGAUGCGCAUCAGAGUACCUGGAGAUGAGUGAAGAUCUUGAAGACGGAAAUCUCAUCACAAAGACAGAAGCUUUCCUUACAUUCGUCAUUCUCUCUUCAUGGAAAGACACAAUCACCAUCCUUAAAUCCUGCGAAACGUUAUCCCCGUGGGCAGAGAAUCUUCAAAUCGUCAGAAGAUGCUGCGACUCCAUAACUUGGAAGGCUUCAAGAGAAAAUGGUGCAGCUAGUGAUCAAGAUUCAGCAUGGUGGCUGGAUGAUUUUGCCACCCUGCAUAUCAACCAUUUCGCGAGGAUUAUAACAGCGAUAAAGGCAAAAGGAACGAAACCGGAAAUCGUUGGAAAGUGUAUAAUGCGGCAUGCAUCGAAAUGGUUGACCGGGGUGGAUGAGGAACUAAGAGGCAAUGGUGAGUUGCAGUUCAGUGUAUUGUGUGGGAGAAAAAAGGAAGAUGCGUAUAUUCGAUAUAAAGAGCAGCAAACGACGAUUAUCGAGAACCUAAUAAGCUUAUUGCCACCUCAACAAGAAGCUGUGCCAUGUAGGUUCUUAUUGCAGAUGUUGAAUAUGGCUAAUGUUUAUUCUGCAUCGCAAGCUUUGAUCACGCAGCUAGAGAAGAGAGUAGGGAUUAUACUAGACAAGGCAACUGUGAAUGAUCUUUUGAUCCCUAAUUACAAAACUACAGAUCGAGGGAAGCUACUAAAGUAUGUAUAACCCCAACUGUUUUUCUCUGUUCUCUAGAUUCCUAGUUGAUUGCAUUGUAGGUUUAAUUUGGCAGGUGGAAAGUUGGAUAGAAUUUAAGAUUUAAUUUGGCAAUAACGAAUCAUAAUUCUUAAGAAGUUGAGUUGAGACUAGUGUAAGGAAGUUAAGUUGGAGUACAAAGGGACUAUGGAAGGGAAUUUGAAUAAAGAGAUAUAAGGAUUUUCGAGUGAAACUGUGUUUCUUAAUCUACUCCAGGGAAAUUUUUAAACGUUGUAAGGAAUCCUUUAUAUCCCUUAAUUUAACUUCUUUUCACAACCCCUCUCAACCUCAACUCAACUGUUUUCUAUUAUCUUAACUCAACUUUUCUAGAAAUUAGGAUUCUUGUUGCCAAAUCAAACCUUAGAUGGCAAUAGGAAAGUUUGCUUUCCAAAAUCACUUCGUUGAGAUCUAACUUUUCCAUCUCAUUGCCUGAAAAUGCUCAAAAUUCCAUCCAACUUUCCAACUUCCAAACCAAGCCGUAUAUAAACAGCAUCCAUAAUUGACAUUGCGUUUUUUUGGUACAGGUCACCUGAGCAAAGCACGAUGCAUGAUAUAGACACAGUACAAAGAAUUGUGGACUACUUUCUGAUGCAUGAACAGGAUCAGCAGCAAAUGCAAUCAAUACCAGGGAAAGCAAAUGUUAGCAAGCUUCUGGACAAUUAUCUAGCUGAAAUUGCCAAGGAUCCAAAUGUAUCUGUGACCAAAUUUCAGGUUUUGGCUGAAGCACUGCCGGAAAGUGCUAGAACUUGUCAUGAUGGUCUAUACAGGGCCAUUGACAUCUAUCUCAAGGUUACCUUUUUUAACUCACUCUUUCAAUUCCUUAUAGUUGGAACAAAAAUAUUCAAGGACUAAAACGAAAUAUUUUUAUCUUAUUUGACAGACUCAUUUUUCGCUAUCAGAACAUGAUCGGAAAAGGGUUUGCAGAUUAAUGAACUGCGAGAAACUAUCCCUAGAUGCAUGCAUGCAUGCAGCACAAAAUGAUAGGCUGCCAGUAAGAACUGUAAUUCAGGUAAGAGAAUUUUCCUAGUUGCAUUGGUUUGGAAGUAAAGUUCUCAGCAAAUUAACAGAAGGCAGCUCUUGCAGGUGUUGUUUACUGAGCAGGUGAAAUUGAGGGCAGCAAUGCAGAUAAAAGAUACACCAGGGAGUGGCAAUAUUUCGGAACAGGAGGUAGUACACCAAACAGAAACAAAAUCAGAGAUCAUGAUGCUUAAAGCGGAGUUGGAGAAUGUAAAGACAAGGAUGGCAGAGCUGCAAAAAGACUACUUGGAACUGCAGCAUGAGUAUGCCAAGUUAAACAACAAGCACAAACAUACAUUAGCUUGGGGUUGGAAGAAGAUUAGGACAUCCACUCUCUUCCACCGAAAAGCUGACGAGAUUGAAAUAGAAGAAGGAAGGCAAAGAUCCAAUUCCACAAGCCAAAAAGUCAAGUCCGGAAAAGUCACUUGGAACUGCAGCAUGAGUAUGCCAAGUUAAACAACAAGCACAAACAUACAUUAGCUUGGGGUUGGAAGAAGAUUAGGACAUCCACUCUCUUCCACCGAAAAGCCGACGAGGUCGAAACAGAAGAAGGAAGGCAAAGAUCCAAUUCCACAAGCCAAAAAGUCAAGUCCGGAAAAGUCGACGGAGUAGAAAAUGAGGAAGGAAGGCAAAGAUCCAAUUCUACAAGCCAAAAACUCAACUCGAGAAGAAGAAUGUCUGUAUAAUAGAAAUUGGAAGCAACAUAUCAAACUAGCAGAAAAUGCAGAAUGAUUGAACGACCAGAUUCUUUAUAGUUAGUUAUUGUAUGAUGUCUAAUGGCUAUAUCUUCUUUUUCAGGUGAAUAAUAUGACCAGUAAGAAUCCUUGCAGGUAUGAAUAUGUUCAAUGUUAAGCAGUAAUCAACUCAUGCUGAUAGUUUAGUUUUGUACAAGUGAUGUAUACUAGGUUUAUGGUGACUGGGGGAUGCUACACAGUUCUAAAUCUGAGUUGGUACGAUGCUACUCAUCCGUAAAUGAAACAACAAUUAGCUGUAUAAUGAGAAAGAACCCAACUUCAACAGGAGGUGAAAUGCAGAAACAAACACCAGCAACAGCUCAAGCUAAUCUAGUAGACCAAUUGAAAUUCAAAUUUGUCUUCUUCACAGUAACCAAGUACCAUGGAGAUGAACAUUCAACAAUGAACACCUAAGUUUAUAGGGCGUCAAAUAGUAACUCUCCUAUCAAGAAGUACGGAAAACCAUGAACAGGAAGGAAAUAUCAGCAAACUACAGGUUGCAGCAAAACGAUUUUCCCUCCCCAUCAAUUGAUUCAAUCAAUAAACUUCAAGUUACAACAAAACAAAGCAGCAGCAAAACCAACAUAAUUCAAUACUAAAACGAAGAGAGAGAGGAGAAGAAAGAAAAAACUAACCUUCCAUCCAACCAACGUCAAUGGAGAUGGCAACUAACCUUCAAGGCGCCGACUUUCUCCUUCAAGGCGUUGACUUCUUCUCUCAUUUUCGACAUUUGUGACUGGGAUUCGUUAUUAUUGAGAAAAAUGCGGC